CUACGGGUCGCAGCAGUGAGGAAUAUUGCGCAAUGGGCGAAAGCCUGACUCAGCGACGCCGCGUGGGGGAUGAAGGUCUUCGGAUUGUAAACCCCUUUCGGGAGGGAAGAUGGGACGAGCAAUCGUCCGGACGGUACCUCCAGAAGCAGCCACGGCUAACUUCGUGCCAGCAGCCGCGGUAAUACGAAGGUGGCAAGCGUUGUUCGGAUUUACUGGGCGUAAAGGGAGCGUAGGCGGUUUGGUAAGCCCUCCGGGAAAUCUUCGGGCUUAACCCGGAAAGGUCGGAGGGGACUGCCUGGCUAGAGGACGGGAGAGGAGCGCGGAAUUCCCGGUGUAGCGGUGAAAUGCGUAGAGAUCGGGAGGAAGGCCGGUGGCGAAGGCGGCGCUCUGGAACGUUCCUGACGCUGAGGCUCGAAAGCGUGGGGAGCAAACAGGAUUAGAUACCCCAGUAGUC
This 454-nucleotide ribosomal RNA is filed under the name uncultured bacterium. Its description in RNAcentral is "partial 16S ribosomal RNA". It matches the Rfam family "Bacterial small subunit ribosomal RNA", at positions 339 to 795 of the family's 1533-position model. The record is from RNAcentral.